GUUUUUUUCAGCAUUCCAUAAAAUUCCUGUAGAGGUAUAAUAAUUGUACAAGAAUUUUUUUUCCUUGUGAAAACUGAAAAAUGGUUUCCAAUGUCUUCUAUUUAUUUGUAAAAUUUUUAAAUUUAGCAACUGCUUACAAUAUUUUCUUUAAUCUUAAGUUGCUAGGUUAUAUAAAGUCAGAAUGUCUGUUUGUAUCUGUCUCACGGUGGCGUUUUGAUGAAUCUGAUAGCAUGAAUUUUUUUAUAGUGUAAACCUUCAAUUUUUUGAGGUUCUAUUUUGAUGAAUGCA
RNAcentral lists this unclassified non-coding RNA (288 nucleotides) under Hevea brasiliensis (rubber tree). The record is from RNAcentral. Lineage: Eukaryota; Viridiplantae; Streptophyta; Magnoliopsida; Malpighiales; Euphorbiaceae.